Molecule: ribozyme, 76 nt
Filed under: Chelonoidis abingdonii (Abingdon island giant tortoise)
Lineage: Eukaryota; Metazoa; Chordata; Testudines; Testudinidae
Description: Mammalian CPEB3 ribozyme (ENSCABG00000007161.1)
Rfam family: Mammalian CPEB3 ribozyme
About the family: The mammalian CPEB3 ribozyme is a self cleaving RNA located in the second intron of the CPEB3 gene which belongs to a family of genes regulating messenger RNA polyadenylation.
Source: Rfam by way of RNAcentral
UGAGAAGGAUAGGGGCCAUAGCAGGAGCAUUCACUUCAUGGGCCCUGUCAGAGUCUCUGUAUUUGUGAAUGCUGCU